UGUGUUGAUGAGGCCCUGAUGAAAAGCUCAGCAUGGCUGUUGGUGUGCCGCACAUCUGGAUCGUUACGGUGUGUCGACACAUGCAUGAGCAAAGGAAAGACCCCCGUGUCGUCGCUGGCUCCCGUGGCCCCGAUCGCCCUCUCCACCAGCCUCCUUCGCUGUAAGAAGCCAACUGCAGGAGGCUCCUGCGAACCACAUGCUAUCACAGCUCGGCCUUCCAGCCUCCAACCGCGGCACGCUUACACUCAUCCACUCCACAGGGGAAGUGUUGAGCCUCGUUCGCCGACAUGACAGCACAAACACAGAAACACCCUUUACCAGACUGGCAGUGCUGCCUCGAACCCCUCCUCUCCUCUCACAGUUUCGCAUUUCUCUCUCUUUGCCUGCUCCUCCCAUCGCUGUUUUCUCCUCAGUCUCUCUCCUCCUCUCAAAGAGCAGUUUCCCCUCGAGCGUCGUUGCGCGCUGCCGUCUUUGUUGGUGUUUACUUGUCUGAGUGUCUUUCUAAUCCUCCCCCAUCUUUCUGUCAAUAUUAGUCUUUGUUCAUCUGUAUCUAGGAUUUUAUUUUUUUAUUUUUUUUCUUAACGUCUGCGUGCUGAAUAAAGUCAAAUGUGACCCACAUGAUGCUGAAGCAUACACACUGCUGGUUUAAAGCUCGAUCCAAAUACAGGCUUCAACUGUUUGGUCCGAUUAAGAUUAUUAAAAAUCCCAUUUCCGAAAGGUUUUCUGCAGAGUUGACUCUGCUUGCUUCCCUUCCUAGACAACUCUCUCUAUUUUUUUUUAUUCCCAUGUUAUUAUAGCUAAUGCAACCAAUGAAUCUGGAUAUAUUACAUUUAAUUUAACCAUAACUGGGCAGAAAUAAACUCCGUGUCAAUGUAAUUAACUGGCAUGCAUGCAAUCAAUAUUAAUAUAACCAAAUAAGACUGUUAGUAAGAGACAUUAAUUGGACUAAGUUUUACUACAUGCAAAUCUGAUUAACUGGACUGAAUGGGAUUCUGUUUUUAGAAUAAUUUUUGACUGCAUUUGGAUUUCAAAUUGAUUUAAAGUAAUUGGGUUGAACUGAACUGAAUGCUGUGAGAAAUAAUUAGACCAAACUGAACCGCCUGCAACCGGACUGAAUCAUACGAGAGUCGUGAAAAUAAAUGCCACAGAUACUUUCAGGGUUUUAAACACAACUCACGUAAGGAGGCCAUCGUCCGUGACGAGGCCGUCGCAGGUUCAAAUCCCGGCCUGGUGACCAUUUGCCACAUGUCUUCCCUCACUCUCAUUACCCACUUUCCUGCUUGAACACUUUCAAAUAAAGACCUUUAAAAAAGAUAAGAGCCAAAAUAUCACUUAAGAUGGUGCUCUAAUAUGUUUUAAGCAAUACAGCAUGGGUUUUUGUGGUUUGGUUCGCUGUCUUGUCCGUUUCCAAUGUAAAAGCGGCCCAUGAAACUGAGCCGUACUGGGUCAAAGGACAACGGUACGGUACGCUUAGGGUGGAGCUACUGGUGUCACAACAACACAGCCCAUUGAUUGGCGGACAGAAAAACGUCACUGCUUACGACAACCUUCAUCGUCGUGCUGCUUUGACGCGAUGGUUUGCGUUUCACCCCGCUUGCCCUGUCAGAGACCAACUGGCACGGGGGACGCUCUCCUGUAGCUAAAAAUAGCUUUUUAGUUUUUUACCAAACCAGCUCAUUAUGCACUGCUCAGUGGAAAUGAGCAAUACUUGUUUGCAAACGCCAGUCAAACUGCAUUGACCCCAGGUAUUUUCAGCUUACGUCCAAAGUGCAUUUCUUUAGAAAAUUUUAGAAAAAAAAAAAAAAA
Molecule: long non-coding RNA, 1806 nt
Organism: Poecilia latipinna (sailfin molly)
Lineage: Eukaryota; Metazoa; Chordata; Actinopteri; Cyprinodontiformes; Poeciliidae
Exons: 2
Source: RefSeq, a predicted model, not a curated record